GCGAGCUGGAGGGCGGCCGUCGGGCCCCAAGGGGCGACCCUGGGGCCUGAGGAAGCUCCACCCACCACGCGGCCACCGUGGCGCCCGCGAGGGCGCGGGCCGAGAGGCCCGGCUCCGGCACAGAAACGGAACGCCCACGUGUCGCAUGACUGAUGAGGCGUGCUAAGUCGCCGAGGAGGCACGUGGGAACGGUGAAACGGCCGACCCACGGGGUGAAAGGGCAAGUAGGGCGCCCAUGAGCUGGCCGCGCGAGGCGCCGGGUAGCCCGAUGAGAAGCACGCCGCCUA
This 287-nucleotide RNase P RNA is filed under the name Candidatus Bathyarchaeota archaeon. RNAcentral's name for it is "partial RNase P RNA component". It matches the Rfam family "Archaeal RNase P", at positions 1 to 259 of the family's 288-position model. Rfam says of the family: Ribonuclease P (RNase P) is a ubiquitous endoribonuclease, found in archaea, bacteria and eukarya as well as chloroplasts and mitochondria. Its best characterised activity is the generation of mature 5'-ends of tRNAs by cleaving the 5'-leader elements of precursor-tRNAs. The record is from RNAcentral. Lineage: Archaea; Thermoproteati; Candidatus Bathyarchaeota.